RNAcentral lists this ribosomal RNA (486 nucleotides) under uncultured bacterium. RNAcentral describes it as "bacterial SSU rRNA". It matches the Rfam family "Bacterial small subunit ribosomal RNA", at positions 15 to 518 of the family's 1533-position model. The record is from RNAcentral.
GAUUAUGGCUCAAGACGAACGCUGGCGGCGUGCUUAACACAUGCAAGUCGAGCGAUGAAGCUCCUUCGGGAGUGGAUUAGCGGCGGACGGGUGAGUAACACGUGGGUAACCUGCCUCAUAGAGGGGAAUAGCCUUUCGAAAGGAAGAUUAAUACCGCAUAAGAUUGUAGUACCGCAUGGUACAGCAAUUAAAGGAGUAAUCCGCUAUGAGAUGGACCCGCGUCGCAUUAGCUAGUUGGUGAGGUAACGGCUCACCAAGGCGACGAUGCGUAGCCGACCUGAGAGGGUGAUCGGCCACAUUGGGACUGAGACACGGCCCAGACUCCUACGGGAGGCAGCAGUGGGGAAUAUUGCACAAUGGGGGAAACCCUGAUGCAGCAACGCCGCGUGAGUGAUGACGGCCUUCGGGUUGUAAAACUCUGUCUUUGGGGACGAUAAUGACGGUACCCAAGGAGGAAGCCACGGCUAACUACGUGCCAGCCGCAGC